This is a long non-coding RNA of Anolis carolinensis (green anole), 6382 nucleotides long. RefSeq lists it as uncharacterized. NCBI's taxonomy places the organism in Eukaryota, Metazoa, Chordata, Lepidosauria, Squamata, Anolidae. The record is from RefSeq and is a predicted model, not a curated record. The transcript has 2 exons.
AAACACAUUCAAUGCAUAUUUUUUUAAUCUGGUAUAUUCACUGAAGUUCCCUUUGGCUCAACUCAUCAAAAGCCAAAGGGCUGUUUAAUUAUUGUGUCAGACGCGAAUUGAGGUUACUGUUGCAAUGUAUUUUAAAAAACACAAACAGUUAAAAACUUGACAUUAUACUAGAUUUCUUUUGACCAGAAGCUGGCCACUUGGAGUGCCUCUGGUGUCGCUGUGAGAAGGUCCUCCAUUGUGCAUGUAACAGGGCUCAGGCUGCAUUGUAGUAAGUGAUUUGUGGUUUGCUCUUCUCCACACCCGCAUGUCGUGGACUCCACUUUGUAGCCCUAUUUCUUAAGGUUGGCUCUGCAUCUCGUGGUCCCAGAGUGCAGUCUGUUCCAAGUCGCUUUCCAAGUCGCCCAGUCUUCAGUGUGUCCAGGAGAGAGUCUCUCAUCCGGUAUCAGCCACUGAUUGAGGUGUUGGGUUUUAGCCUGCCACUUUUGGACUCUUGCUUGCUGAGGUGUUCCUGCGAGUAUCUCUUAGGAAACUGUUUCUUGAUUUAAGUCAUUGGUGUGCUGGCUGAUAUCCAAACAGAGGAUGGGCUGGCAAUGUCAAUGCCUUGGUACUUUCAUUACUGGCUGCUAUAUCCCAACGGAUGUUAGGUGGUGCAAUACCGCCUAAACAGUAUAAUUUCUCCAGCUGUGUACGUGUAGACAUCCUAUGAUAAUGUGGCAUACCUUAAUAAGAGCCACAUCCACAAUUUUAACAUGGUGAGAUCUAUUUGACACUGGGCAUACGCAUUCAGCAGCAGAGCAGCAAAGCGCAAGGACAGAUGUGUUCACUGUGUCUGAUUGUCAUCCCCAGGUUGUGUCAGUCAGUUUUCAUAUGACAUUAUUUCUAGCACCCGCUUUUUGCUUGAUAGUCAAGCAAUGCUACUUGUAAGUCAGAGUAUUUAUAAAUAACUAAAUGAAAUAACCUAAGCAUUGGCAAACUACUUCUCUCAAUGGCCCCUUCUACACUGCCCUAUAAUUCAGAUGAUCAAAGCAGAUAAUCUACAUAAUCUGAACUGGAUUAUAUGAGUCUACACUGCCAUAUAAUGCACUUCAAAGCAGAUAAUCUGGAUUUUCUAUGGUAGUGUAAAAAAGGCCAAUGAUAUCUGACCCUGGCUCUGCUGCUGGCGAUUGUGAUGCAACAGUGAUGCUGCUCCUUCUAUGACGCCUUCGUGGUUCCCGUGGAGAUGAGUCAAGCCAAGGAGAGAGAGGCAGGCAGAGGAGUCCCAUGGAAACAGCUAAGUCCCUCUGAUGGAGGGAAAGACUGAAUUAACAAAAUGGGGAGUAAGAAAUGAUAGAUAUAUGCUCUGUAAAAACAUGUUAUAACAAAUUGUUUAUUUUCCUGCUAAGGUGUCAAAACAUCACCUUUCCAGGUAAGCUUGCUGUAUUUCUCAUUCAUUUAUCUCUUAUCAGGGAAACUGAGACAACAGAAUAGUCCUCCUACUCACAGCAGUCAAAUAAUUAUAUAAAUAGCAUAUGGGAUAAAAGAAAAAUGCAAAAAAGAGAGAGAUUAUGGUAAGGCUGACAGUUGAGAUGAGUUCUAGCACAAAGUUGCACAGUUUGAAAUUUACUGGAAGAUGGAAAUCCAGAAGAUGAGGUGGGUAUGUCAGUAUUUCCAGUUGCCAACAUCUUUUCUUAAAUUUGCUUUUUUUAGCUGAAAACAUAUAAGAUUUCAGAUUUCUCAAAAGUUUCAGGAAACUGCAAAUAUGAAAAAAAAAUCUGAUGUAAGGUAAAGAGUAAGGUUGGCUUUGGGAAAGUAAAGUACCCCUCCAGUGAUCUUUGCCAACAUGUCGGUAGGUUUCUAUGGGGUAUGUUUUUAAAUGGAUGUUUAAAAUUUUAUUAACUAACUGUACUUCUGACACAAAAAAUAAUAAGAGAGACUGAGAUAGAUAGAUAGAUAGAUAGAUAGAUAGAUAGAUAGAUAGAUAGAUAGAUAGAUGAUAGAUAGAGAUAGAUGAUUGAUUGAUUGAUUUCAGGCUGCUGACAAUCUUCAAAAAGCAGAAAAUAUGUGACAAAAAUCUGAUAUAAGACUUGUUUCAGAAAAAAUAAAAACCUCUCCAGCAGACUUCACCAAUAUAUUGGAGAACACAUAGUGAAACCUCUCCAGUGAAUGUCACCAACAUGUUUGGAAAUUUCUGUGGGGUAAGUUUCUAAAUGGGAAGAAUUCCUGUCCUGGAAAAUAUUCAUGCUGGUUAAAGAUUAUUUCUUCACUUUAUUCUCAUAUAUAGCAUCUUUGUGGACUGAAAGGGAAAAUUUCCACAGUUUAAAAUAAUUGUACAUAAAUCCAUUUGGUAGGGAGAAUAUAUAAACAUGCAUAUUCUGAAAGAUGGUGGAACAAAUCAACCAAGCAUUUCAGUAUUUCAUGGUGACCAGUCUUUGCCUGACUUUCUCACUAGUGCAUUUCUACAUUUUGAAGGAGAUUGGAAGAAAGGAAUCAAUCCAAGAGAUGAAGUAAGCCCUUUAUUAAUUCUAGUUGCUAAAGUCUGCUGCUUUGUUUCUUUAUCUUUGUUUCUUUAUCUUUAUAGUAAGUUCUAGUGCAAGAAGAUAAUAUGGAAUAGAGAAAUAACAAAUGGAACAGCCUGGAAUCAUGAUUUUGGAUGGCGUGAUUUUAUUAAUGGUUUUUGAUAUUGAUAUGUGUUAAUUUUUUGGUUUUAAAACAUUUGCUUAUUUUACUGUAUGUUGAUGACAUUGACUUACUAUCUGGAAGGCCAUUCUGAGUACCCCUUUGGGGUGAAUAGAGUGGGAUAUAAAUGAAGUAAAUAAAUAAAAUGAAUAAUAAAUUUCUCCAUACAGAAUAGAAACAAACUGGUGUGAGAAAGAGACCUGGAGACAUACUGAAGCUAUAAACGGACCUCUUCUUCAGGAAUUGACCAGAAAAUGUAAAGGUCAGAUUCUUGUUAAAAUUUAACAUUUCUAAAAUCCAUUAUUUAUUGGAAACAAAACAGAUAAUUGAUUAUUGUUCCUUUCUUGCCAGAUGAAAUUUUCAAGCCAAGACUUAGAAGUAUGUAUGACGUUUAACAAUUCUUUGCUUAUAUAUGGAUUUAUUUCCAGGCUGGAAAGAGAUUUUAAAAAAUAAAGUUCUUUCAUUAGUGAGUGGCAAAAAGAAAGUUUAGACAUUAUGGAUUUUAACAUGAUUUUAAAACAACACCAUUUUCUUUAAAAACCCUCGUGAUUUAGGGGAUGAUAGUUCUGAAAUUAAUCCAAAAGAGAGAAAUGGGACAAAUGUCACAGGCAAAUAUGAUAAACAUGAAGGUAGGUCCUCAGUGGUAUCCUUUACUGCAAUUGAAGAAAAAAUUGCAAUUGAAAUAAAAAUGUGUACAAACAAAAGAUAUGGUCAAGAUGGCAAUUCAGAGGUAAGAAACAACCUUUAGUUUUUAACAGAUUUGUGUCCAGAAGAAAGGAAUCCAGCAGAUAAGGUAUGAAUGUCAAGAUUUUAGGCUACCAAAGUCUAUCCUAACUUUGUCUAGAUUUUUGUCCCGGAAAAGUAUGAGAUUCCAUGGUUUUGACCAUGAUGAAGCAUGAAGCAAACCAUGAUCAAACAUGCAACAAAAGAACAACUUCAGGAAGAUAAGAAUCUUUCCAGUGACCUUACAAACUUGUUGGUAAGUCUUUACGAGGUAUGUUUCUUAGAGAGAGAAAUGCACAUCUUGGUAAAUGCUUUCCUUUAGUCCAUUGAACAGUAUUUUGGAUAUUCGGUUGCCCAAGUCUUUUCCUAACUUUGUCUAGAUAUUUCACUGGGAAAAUAUGAGAUUUCAGGCAUCUGACAACCUUCAAGAAACAGCGAACAUGUAACACAAAUCUAAGGGAAAGAACAAGACUUGCUUCAGAAAGGUAUUAAUCUCCUUCGGGGAAUUUAACAAACAUAUUGGAAAGUCUCCAUGAGGUAAGUUUCUCAAUUGAAAGAAUUCACACCCAAGAAAAUACUCAAGUGGCUAAAGAUUUAUUUUACCACUUUGUACUUGGAUAUAACCUCUUUGUAGACAUGAAAGUGAGCUUUCCUAUUUUGAAAGAACUGCAAAUCAAUCCUGUUGUGUCUAAUAAAAGCAUCUGGAAAAAAGAUGAAAUAUUGCCAAAAUUUACAGUGACUAAAGUCUCUGCCUUACAUUCCUCAGCUUUCUAUGGAGAAAGGAAUCAAAGAACUUAGGUAAGAAUUCCAUUAUCCCCAAUACCUAAAGGUUGCCAUUUAUUUUAUUGUCUGGCUCCCUCCUUAAUAUUUUAUUCAUCUUUGAUUGUGGUGGUUAAAAUGAUUUCUCCAUCCAGAGUGCAAACAAACUGGGAAAAGGAGGAAGACGUUGAGAGAGUAGAUGUGGAGGUAUACUUUGGGAGUUGGCUGGACAAGGUUGUAUUCUAUACAGACAUUUUUAGCAUACAAGCAAUAAUUCAUUUACUGAAAAGAAAAAAAAUGGCAAUUGUUCCUAUUUUUCUAGAAAGCUUCAGAAGCAACUAUGUUGUUUAACAUUUGUUUGCUAUGUUACUGACUUCCUUCCAGGUUUGCAAGAGAUUUUAGAAAUUCUUAAAUGUUAUUUUAGUUACCAAAUUAAUUCAAGAAGAGAGAAGUGUGACAAUGUCACAGACAGACAUCACCAAUGUGAUGGUAAGUUCUGAAAUGGUAUCCUUUACUGUAGGGAACGAUCCGUGGUAUUUUUCCUUGCUGGCUCUCUGGACGGGUGAGUGUGACAGUUCCUUGAUGCUUUGGUGACUUUUGUUUUGCAGUUUUGGAAGGGAUUGUCCAAUACAAAAAGCUCUGUAGAUCAUUCAUUAUUGUAAGAUAGGUAACAAAGAUCAUAACAUUGAUAGUUUGGCAAGAUCAAAAAAGCAAGGCGUAACACAAACUCCAGUGAGGUGAGAAACAUUCCUCUUAUAAAUGCUGUUUUUUCAAACAUAUUUGUGUUGAUUGCCAAAGACCAACAAUUUUAUCACCUUUUCUCCAUCCUUCUUUUGGUCUAGCAGGGGAUAUGGACUUAUACUUUAAGUGUCUUUAUUCUGUCCAUUUAGAUAUUGAUUAAUUUAUUUUCCAUUGAGCGGGCUGAAAAGGAAUGUUGAAAAUGAAAAAAACUGUGUGUGAACUUCACUUUAGGAACUGUCCAGAAUAUCUUCAAAAAUCUUAUAUGCUGACAGGGAAACACAAUGGGAUCAGAUGAUUGGUAAGAAAGCAAUACCUCUUGUGAGUCAGACUGUUGGUAUCCUUUACUGGCUUCCUUGGUAGUUUUUUUUCCUUGCUGUUUCCUUUGAUGGUUUGACAAUGAAUUCAUAUUUAGUUAUUUCUUUGCAGAUACCAAACUGCUGGCAUCAUUUACUGGAGAGAAAGGUUCUUAAUAGAUUUUUCCUUGCUGGCUCACUAAAAAUGUCAUGAUGAUGUUUUGACAACGUGUUGUAGAAGGCGUUCAUGGCCAGAAUUACUGGGUUGCUGUGAGUUUUCCAGGCCAGGAAGCAUCAGGAGACUAUGCUCUGGAAUAUGGCCAUACAGCCCGGAAAACUCAUGCAACCCAGUUUGACAAUUAUUUCAUAUUUAGUUACUUCUUUGCAGAUUUGGAAGGGAUUGCCCAAUGCAAAAGGAUCCUCAUUUGACCCAUUAUUUGAAGAUAGGUAACAAAAAGAAUUGCACUAAUACUUUGCCAUGAAAGCAGGGCACAUAACAAAAAUAUUAGUCAGGUAAGAAGUGAUGCUGUUUGUAUCAUUCCUUCUUCAAGGAGAACAAGGUGAAAAACAUGACCAAUUUGUGUUGAUUACCAAAGGCCAAUUAUUAUAUCAUUUUUCUGGAAGUCUUUUCAAAGGAAUGUUAUUGGGACAUUAAUUUAUUUUCUUUUAAGCAGAUUCAACGUGGUUUUUCAGAGUUGAAAGAGAGAUGUGUGACCUUUCCUUUUGGCAUCGCCUAGAAAAUCUUCAGAAUUCUAAUUUAUGGAUAGAGAAAGGCAGUCUCCAACUUAUAAAAAAAAAGUAUAAUUGGAAACAAGGAAACCUAGUAUGCAUCUAGAUGGAUGUGGAAAAUGACAUGAGCAUGGAAGAGCUGCAUUAAUAAGGAUUGUAUAUUUGCCAUUCAGGUGGCCAAUGUUUUCUCUUGUAGAGGAGAGCCACGGCGCUUGCAGGGUGGCCUUUGGACUACCGCACAACAACGGGGAGAGAGGGAUGGGGCGCUUGCGUAUGGCUCUUGCUCGUGGGAUGCCCAGGGCUAGUGGUGCUGAUCGCCGUUUUGGGGUCGGGAAGGAAUUUUCCUCCAGGGCAGAUUGGCCGGAGACCCUGGAGGUUUUUCGCCUUCCCCUGGGCAUUGAGCAGGAGUCACCGGCCAUGUCAAAUGGCACAUUCAAGUCAAUUAAAACAUCAUUUAAAAUAAAUGUAUGAAUUAAAACAAA